AAAAGGGACAUUUGGGGGCAUACGAACUCGGCAGCGAGAGGUGAAUUCUAAGACCUGCCGAGGUCGAACUAAAGCGAAAGCAUUUGCCAAGAAUGUUUUCAUUGAUCAAGAACGAAAGUUGGAGGAUCAAAAACGAUCAGAUACCGUUGUAGUUCCAACUUUAAACUAUGCCGACUGUAGGGGCCAGUUCGGUAUAUCCGUACUUAUUGACCUCCCAGGGAAACCAUAGUAGGGUUCUGGGGGGAGUACGGUCGCAAGUCUGAAACUUAAAGGAAUUGACGGAAGGGCACCACCAGGAGUGGAUCCUGCGGCUUAAUUUGACUCAACACGGGGAAACUUACCCGGUCCGGACACCGAUAGGAUUGACAGACUAAUCGCUCUUUCAUGAUACGGUGAUGAGUGGUGCAUGGCCGUUCAUAGUUGGUGGAGCGAUUUGUCUGGUUAAUUCCGUUAACGAACGAGACUAAAACCUUCAUUUCGUUUGCCAAUCAUGUUCUACGCUUUUAUCGGCUGAGAGCUAGACUUGAACAAACUAUUUGAAUGGGAUUAACGCCGUAAUCGAAAGGCGUUUGAAAUUUUUCAAUAACAGGUCUGUGAUGCCCUUAGAUGUCCGGGGCCGC
RNAcentral lists this ribosomal RNA (620 nucleotides) under Buddenbrockia sp. 2 PBS-2014. RNAcentral describes it as "SSU rRNA". It matches the Rfam family "Eukaryotic small subunit ribosomal RNA", at positions 871 to 1490 of the family's 1831-position model. The record is from RNAcentral. Lineage: Eukaryota; Metazoa; Cnidaria; Myxozoa; Malacovalvulida; Saccosporidae.